RNAcentral lists this ribosomal RNA (506 nucleotides) under uncultured Glomeromycotina. RNAcentral describes it as "SSU rRNA". It matches the Rfam family "Eukaryotic small subunit ribosomal RNA", at positions 569 to 1078 of the family's 1831-position model. The record is from RNAcentral. Lineage: Eukaryota; Fungi; Glomeromycota.
AGCAGCCGCGGUAAUUCCAGCUCCAAUAGCGUAUAUUAAAGUUGUUGCAGUUAAAAAGCUCGUAGUUGAAUUUCGGGAUCAAUAUAUCGGUCGUGCCUCCGGUAUGCACUGGUAUUAUUGAUUUCUACCUUCUGACGAAUCAUGAUGUCAUUAAUUUGGUGUCAUGGGGAAUCAGGACUGUUACUUUGAAAAAUUAGAGUGUUUAAAGCAGGCACAAGCUUGAAUACAUUAGCAUGGAAUAAUGAAAUAGGACGUUUGACCCUAUUUUGUUGGUUUCUAGGAUCGACGUAAUGAUUAAUAGGGAUAGUUGGGGGCAUUAGUAUUCAAUUGUCAGAGGUGAGAUUCCUGGAUUUAUUGAAGACUAACUACUGCGAAAGCAUUGUCCAAGGAUGUUUUCAUUAAUCUAAGAACGAAAGUUAGGGGAUCGAAGACGAUCAGAUACCGUCGUAGUCUUAACCAUAAACUAUGCCGACUAGGGAUCGGAUGAUGUUAAUUUUUAAUGUACU